GGCGCGCGAGCGACCGGUCGCUGCCGCAAGGCAGAGGAAAGUCCGGACUCCACAGGGCAGGGGAUCCGUCCGUCAAGGACGGAAGACGCGGGGAAAUCCCGCGUGAUGGAAAGUGCCGCAGAAAACAGACAGCCCCGCGAGGGGUGAUGGUGAAAUGGCGAGGCAAGAGCUCACCGGGACGGCUGAAACGACGUCCGCACGGCAAACCCUCCCCGGAGCAAGAUCGAAUAGGCGGUCGAACGGGGUGCCCCUCCGGUUGGCGAUCGGCGACGAUUGCCAUCAGACCGCGGGUUGAUCGCUCAGAUGAAUGAUCGGAGUUCCCGCAAGGGGAUGAACAGAAUCCGGCUUACUCGCCACGCGCCGCCU
RNAcentral lists this RNase P RNA (366 nucleotides) under Kiritimatiellia bacterium. RNAcentral describes it as "Kiritimatiellae bacterium (gut metagenome) RNase P RNA component class A". It matches the Rfam family "Bacterial RNase P class A". Rfam says of the family: Ribonuclease P (RNase P) is a ubiquitous endoribonuclease, found in archaea, bacteria and eukarya as well as chloroplasts and mitochondria. Its best characterised activity is the generation of mature 5'-ends of tRNAs by cleaving the 5'-leader elements of precursor-tRNAs. The record is from RNAcentral. Lineage: Bacteria; Pseudomonadati; Kiritimatiellota; Kiritimatiellia.